ACAAAAACAUGUCUCUUUGUUACAAGUAUAUAAGGAGUUUAACCUGCCCGGUGAUGAUAAUUUAACGGCCGCAGUACUUUGACUGUGCGAAGGUAGCAUAAUUAUUUGCCUUAUAAUUGAAGGCUUGUAUGAAUGGUUUGACGAAAAUAAGUCUGUCUUAAUUUAAUUUUUUAGAAUUUAACUUUUAAGUGAAGAGGCUUUUAUUUUAUUGAUAGACAAGAAGACCCUGUCGAGCUUAAAUUUUAUAAAUUAAUGUGUAUAUUUAUGUUUUUUAUGAAUUUUAGUUGGGGUGACUAAGGAAUUAAAAGAGUUUCCUUAAUAUAUUUUAAUAUUUGUUGAUUUUGAUCCAUAGGUGAUGAUAAUUAGAAUUAGUUACCGCAGGGAUAACAGCAUAAUCUUUUUUGAGAGUUCAUAUCGAAAAAAGGGUUUGUGACCUCGAUGUUGGAUUAAAAUAUCCUGAAGGUGCAGAAGUUUUUAAGGGUUAGUCUGUUCGACUAUUAAAAUUUUACAUGAGCUGAG
This 519-nucleotide ribosomal RNA is filed under the name Opisthosiphon prominulum. RNAcentral's name for it is "partial 16S small subunit ribosomal RNA". It matches the Rfam family "Bacterial large subunit ribosomal RNA", at positions 1807 to 2609 of the family's 2925-position model. The record is from RNAcentral. Lineage: Eukaryota; Metazoa; Mollusca; Gastropoda; Littorinimorpha; Pomatiidae.